Molecule: ribosomal RNA, 400 nt
Filed under: uncultured bacterium
Lineage: Bacteria
Description: bacterial SSU rRNA
Rfam family: Bacterial small subunit ribosomal RNA
Source: RNAcentral
UGGGGAAUUUUGGACAAUGGGGGCAACCCUGAUCCAGCAAUGCCGCGUGUGUGAAGAAGGCCUUCGGGUUGUAAAGCACUUUUGGCGGGAGCGAAAGGGCCUGGGCUAAUACCCUGGGUUGAUGACGGUACCCGCAGAAUAAGCACCGGCUAACUACGUGCCAGCAGCCGCGGUAAUACGUAGGGUGCAAGCGUUAAUCGGAAUUACUGGGCGUAAAGCGAGCGCAGGCGGUUGUGUAAGACAGAUGUGAAAUCCCCGGGCUUAACCUGGGAACUGCAUUUGUGACUGCACGGCUAGAGUGCGUCAGAGGGGGGUGGAACUCCACGUGUAGCAGUGAAAUGCGUAGAGAUGUGGAAGAACACCGAUGGCGAAGGCAGCCCCCUGGGAUGACACUGACGCU